Molecule: ribosomal RNA, 279 nt
Filed under: uncultured bacterium
Lineage: Bacteria
Description: partial 16S ribosomal RNA
Rfam family: Bacterial small subunit ribosomal RNA
Source: RNAcentral
UGCCAGCCGCCGCGGUAAUACGGAGGGUGCGAGCGUUAAUCGGAAUUACUGGGCGUAAAGCGCACGCAGGCGGUUUGUUAAGCUAGAUGUGAAAGCCCCGGGCUCAACCUGGGAAUUGCAUUCGAUACUGCUUAGCUAGAGUAUGAGAGAGGGUAGUGGAAUUCCGGGUGUAGCGGUGAAAUGCGUAGAUAUCCGGAGGAACAUCAGUGGCGAAGGCGACUUUCUGGCCUAUUCUUGACGCUGAGGCGCGAAAGCUAGGGGAGCGAACGGGAUUAGAUA